This 754-nucleotide ribosomal RNA is filed under the name uncultured beta proteobacterium. Its description in RNAcentral is "bacterial SSU rRNA". It matches the Rfam family "Bacterial small subunit ribosomal RNA", at positions 45 to 782 of the family's 1533-position model. The record is from RNAcentral. Lineage: Bacteria; Pseudomonadati; Pseudomonadota; Betaproteobacteria.
CGCUUUACACAUGCAAGUCGAACGGUAACGCGGAGAGAAGCUUGCUUCUCUCCGGCGACGAGUGGCGAACGGGUGAGUAAUACAUCGGAACGUGUCCGCUCGUGGGGGACAACCAGCCGAAAGGUUGGCUAAUACCGCAUGAGUUCUACGGAAGAAAGAGGGGGACCCGCAAGGGCCUCUCGCGAGCGGAGCGGCCGACGACUGAUUAGCCGGUUGGUGAGGUAACGGCUCACCAAAGCAACGAUCAGUAGCUGGUCUGAGAGGACGACCAGCCACACUGGGACUGAGACACGGCCCAGACUCCUACGGGAGGCAGCAGUGGGGAAUUUUGGACAAUGGGCGCAAGCCUGAUCCAGCUAUUCCGCGUGUGGGAUGAAGGCCCUCGGGUUGUAAACCACUUUUGUAGAGAACGAAAAGACACCUUUUAAAAAAGGGUGUUGCUGACGGUACUCUAAGAAUAAGCACCGGCUAACUACGUGCCAGCAGCCGCGGUAAUACGUAGGGUGCGAGCGUUAAUCGGAAUUACUGGGCGUAAAGGGUGCGCAGGCGGUUGAGUAAGACAGAUGUGAAAUCCCCGAGCUUAACUCGGGAAUGGCAUAUGUGACUGCUCGACUAGAGUGUGUCAGAGGGAGGUGGAAUUCCACGUGUAGCAGUGAAAUGCGUAGAUAUGUGGAAGAACACCGAUGGCGAAGGCAGCCCCCUGGGACAUAACUGACGCUCAGGCACGAAAGCGUGGGGAGCAAACAGGAUUAGA